Molecule: long non-coding RNA, 1181 nt
Filed under: Daphnia magna
Lineage: Eukaryota; Metazoa; Arthropoda; Branchiopoda; Diplostraca; Daphniidae
Description: uncharacterized LOC116931262, transcript variant X2
Source: RNAcentral
UAAUCUGUAGUUUUAAAGCCUUCAGUCUUAGCCAGAGAAAACUACCAGUUCACCAGCAAUAAAAUAAAAUAGAAUAAAAAUAAUAAAAUAAAAAUAAAGUGGCUUUCUUAUUUUCCGAGUACGAGAAAGCUAAAGUUCUGAUAAUUUUUUUAUAAAGGUGACACAACAAGAAGGCAUACCAAAUUACCAAUAAAAGAAAGAGUGGUUUGGAAGGAAAACGUCAGCAGUGCCAAAACCCAACAAAAAAAAACAUAGUCAACAUUGAACAAAAUAAUUGGAACUUAUAAUGGUUGAUAAGGCUGAAACCCAUUAUGAUAAUAUUUAAUCAUGCCCGUAUAUAUAGGUGAAUCUGGUAAGACAUUGAAGCCAUUAAAAAUUGUGCUGACAAAUUCUGUUAGAUAACCUUCGUUUUGAAGCCAUACCGCCAUACUAGCGUGAAUAAUAGUUGGCCUGUUUCCAUUUUGCGUAUUCCCUGCUAAAGUCAGGUGAGUCAAGUUCAUUGUUCUCGUUUGGGUUUUCAGUAGGAAGUGUAUUCUGGCGGAAUUCUGAACGUGAUACUGCAUUUGCGCCUAUUAAAAUAGUUAAAAUCGUAAAUCAUCCACCCUUUUUAGGGCAAUGUUUCUUGAGAUAUCCGUUGCCUUAGCAUAGAGAUUUCGUCCUAUCUCUUUCCUGAAAGAACUGCACGACUGGCUUGUUUGGAUAAAAGGAGGCAAAUCUGUACAUAAUAAUUAGAACAAAUAAGGUAACUGAUGCAGCAAAAACAGCUAUAGCUACGUAUGGGAUGGUUCAAGUGGAUUCACGGGCAAUUGCAAGCAGCACCAAACGGACCAUUCACAGCAGGGCAAUGGCACUAAACUCAAUGGAGUGCGGAUGAUUUACGGGCCAGGCCGAAAAAUAGGCGUUUAGUACGGAUGGAUGUGACAUCGGAAGGGACCUCAGCGGUUGCGGAUGCUGCGGUAUCGACGGGGACAUCAGGCUGACCGUCGUUAUUCGUAUCGACACCCUUGAAGUUCAGGUUACUGACAAAAUGGCGAAUUGUGUGGAGACGAUUGAGGAGCGAAUUGAGCACAGGCACAAGCUAAAAGGCAGCUAAAUAUCUGUUGACAAACUUUGUACUUUAAAAUGAUCUCAAAAUGGAAAUGUGGAAAGACUUGAGUAAAGGAAGUGCGUUAUACCAAAAA